RNAcentral lists this transfer RNA (72 nucleotides) under Camelus bactrianus (Bactrian camel). It matches the Rfam family "tRNA". From Rfam's summary of the family: Transfer RNA (tRNA) molecules are approximately 80 nucleotides in length. Their secondary structure includes four short double-helical elements and three loops (D, anti-codon, and T loops). Further hydrogen bonds mediate the characteristic L-shaped molecular structure. tRNAs have two regions of fundamental functional importance: the anti-codon, which is responsible for specific mRNA codon recognition, and the 3' end, to which the tRNAs corresponding amino acid is attached (by aminoacyl-tRNA synthetases). tRNAs cope with the degeneracy of the genetic code in two manners: having more than one tRNA (with a specific anti-codon) for a particular amino acid; and 'wobble' base-pairing, i.e. permitting non-standard base-pairing at the 3rd anti-codon position. Lineage: Eukaryota; Metazoa; Chordata; Mammalia; Artiodactyla; Camelidae. RNAcentral also lists the same sequence under 1 other name. The record is from Rfam by way of RNAcentral.
GGGGGUAUAGCUCACUCGUAGAGCGCAUGCUUAGCACGCACGAGGUCCUGAGUUCCAUCCCCACUACCUCCA